UUUUGGAAACGUAAAGGUGCUAAGGUGCAGGCUCCCAGUUGCAAGAUCUUUAAUUUGAAAUUACAUCUUUAAUCGACCUGACCCAGAAAUUUAUCACCAUCGGACAAAAAUGAAUAUAAAAUUAUUUUUAAAAUA
Long non-coding RNA from Poecilia latipinna (sailfin molly), 135 nucleotides. RefSeq lists it as uncharacterized. The transcript has 2 exons. The record is from RefSeq and is a predicted model, not a curated record. NCBI's taxonomy places the organism in Eukaryota, Metazoa, Chordata, Actinopteri, Cyprinodontiformes, Poeciliidae.